AUGGGGGAAAUCUGGAGCCCACAUGUUGGUUGUGGGAGGGGAUGCUGUCUCAUCCUGUCUGUGGGUGAUGGUCCAGCCCGUGGUGCCAGCAGAGGAUCAGGCCGCCAUGGUGUGCAGCCCUGGAUGCCACUUUGUCACCAUUCCUUGGACUGUGGCCACUGCCACGUUGUGCAUCGGGAGUCCCCGUGCUGUUACUUGCAAUGGGACUCUGCUCUUUCGCAAGGAGCCGUAUCCCCGGCCGUGAUGUUCCUUCUCGUAAUCCCCCUGUCCCUUCUCGCCGACCUCCCAGUGAGGUCACGUUUCAGCUCCCAAGCCCUGAUUCCAAUUAAAGCUGUGCGCUGCAGCCUGGCGCGGCCGGCCGGGUACGGCUCUCGCCGCGGGGCUCUCGGGGGAUUGCUGCUCAUGUGGGGUCACGGGAGGCUCCAGCAAAGACACAUUCGUGUUGGAAACCAGCUCCAUGCACCACAGCCCUCAGCACGGGGCUCACUUUUGGAGAGGAGGACCUCUGGGAACCCCAUCAUGAUGUGGGGUUGCACCCCAGAGAAGAGUUGGCUGGGAAGGAGCCCCAGUGCUCAAGGAAGGAGCCCAGCCUCAAGUGCUGAGGGCUCGCUGGCUGGCAGGCAAAGAGGGGCCACACUGCGAGGCAGAGCAGGCACGGCCACUGGCAGCCGGGUGCUAACCAGUGCCUUCUCUCCUCUCCAGGUGGCUAUAGAUUGCCCUUCGUCAAUGGUAAGCUGCCCUGUGAGGAGCACUCAUAGCUCUAUAGUUGUAGCUCCUCGCAGACCCUGUGUCCCCAGCGUGUCCUCAGCUAUGGGGCUCGAGCUGUUUCUGCCACACCCCUGCCCCAGCAUCCAGCUCCUGACCUUGCUGGGCUUUCUCUUUGUGCUUGCAGGUCUCGGACCAGGCGGGAUAGGAGCAGGGGUUCUAGCUGGGAAGGCUGGGUACCCCACUGGGACAGGUGUUGGAGCGCAGGCGGCAGCAGCAAAAGCGGCAGCUAAAUAUGGUGAGCCUCCAUCCGUGGGCACACAGAGGACCCACAGCCCUACUGGGGAGGCUGUGCCCCCUCCCAUUCUUGGGGGUCUGCUACUGCCCCGUCUCUGA
Molecule: long non-coding RNA, 1101 nt
Filed under: Coturnix japonica (Japanese quail)
Lineage: Eukaryota; Metazoa; Chordata; Aves; Galliformes; Phasianidae
Description: lncRNA (ENSCJPG00005004347.1)
Source: RNAcentral